RNAcentral lists this ribosomal RNA (230 nucleotides) under uncultured microorganism. RNAcentral's name for it is "partial 16S ribosomal RNA". It matches the Rfam family "Bacterial small subunit ribosomal RNA", at positions 524 to 752 of the family's 1533-position model. The record is from RNAcentral.
CACGUAGGGGGCAAGCGUUGUCCGGAUUUAUUGGGCGUAAAGAGCUCGUAGGUGGCUCAGUAAGUCGGGUGUGAAACCUCCAGGCUCAACCUGGAGACGCCACCCGAUACUGCUGUGGCUAGAGUCCAGUAGGGGAGCAUGGAAUUCCUGGUGUAGCGGUGAAAUGCGCAGAUAUCAGGAGGAACACCAGUGGCGAAGGCGGUGCUCUGGGCUGGAACUGACACUGAGGA